Molecule: ribosomal RNA, 1347 nt
Filed under: uncultured bacterium
Lineage: Bacteria
Description: partial 16S ribosomal RNA
Rfam family: Bacterial small subunit ribosomal RNA
Source: RNAcentral
GACGAACGCUGGCGGCGUGCUUAACACAUGCAAGUCGAACGGAAAGGCCCUGCUUUUGUGGGGUGCUCGAGUGGCGAACGGGUGAGUAACACGUGAGUAACCUGCCCUUGACUUUGGGAUAACUUCAGGAAACUGGGGCUAAUACCGGAUAGGAGCUCCUGCUGCAUGGUGGGGGUUGGAAAGUUUCGGCGGUUGGGGAUGGACUCGCGGCUUAUCAGCUUGUUGGUGGGGUAGUGGCUUACCAAGGCUUUGACGGGUAGCCGGCCUGAGAGGGUGACCGGCCACAUUGGGACUGAGAUACGGCCCAGACUCCUACGGGAGGCAGCAGUGGGGAAUAUUGCACAAUGGGCGGAAGCCUGAUGCAGCAACGCCGCGUGCGGGAUGACGGCCUUCGGGUUGUAAACCGCUUUCGCCUGUGACGAAGCGUGAGUGACGGUAAUGGGCAAAGAAGCACCGGCUAACUACGUGCCAGCAGCCGCGGUGAUACGUAGGGUGCGAGCGUUGUCCGGAUUUAUUGGGCGUAAGGGGCUCGUAGGUGGUUGAUCGCGUCGGAAGUGUAAUCUUGGGGCUUAACCCUGAGCGUGCUUUCGAUACGGGUUGACUUGAGGAAGGUAGGGGAGAAUGGAAUUCCUGGUGGGAGCGGUGGAAUGCGCAGAUAUCAGGAGGAACACCAGUGGCGAAGGCGGUUCUCUGGGCCUUUCCUGACGCUGAGGAGCGAAAGCGUGGGGAGCGAACAGGCUUAGAUACCCUGGUAGUCCACGCUGUAAACGGUGGGUACUAGGUGUGGGGUCCAUUCCACGGGUUCCGUGCCGUAGCUAACGCUUUAAGUACCCCGCCUGGGGAGUACGGCCGCAAGGCUAAAACUCAAAGGAAUUGACGGGGCCCCGCACAAGCGGCGGAGCAUGCGGAUUAAUUCGAUGCAACGCGUAGAACCUUACCUGGGUUUGACAUGGAUCGGGAGUGCUCAGAGAUGGGUGUGCCUCUUUUGGGGUCGGUUCACAGGUGGUGCAUGCCUGUCGUCAGCUCGUGUCGUGAGAUGUUGGGUUAAGUCCCGCAACGAGCGCAACCCUUGUUCACUGUUGCCAGCACGUUAUGGUGGGGACUCAGUGGAGACCGCCGGGGUCAACUCGGAGGAAGGUGGGGAUGACGUCAAGUCAUCAUGCCCCUUAUGUCCAGGGCUUCACGCAUGCUACAAUGGCUGGUACAGAGAGUGGCGAGCCUGUGAGGGUGAGCGAAUCUCGGAAAGCCGGCCUCAGUUCGGAUUGGGGUCUGCAACUCGACCUCAUGAAGUCGGAGUCGCUAGUAAUCGCAGAUCAGCAACGCUGCGGUGAAUACGUUCCCGGGGCU